Molecule: ribosomal RNA, 1422 nt
Filed under: Triticum aestivum (bread wheat)
Lineage: Eukaryota; Viridiplantae; Streptophyta; Magnoliopsida; Poales; Poaceae
Description: partial small subunit ribosomal RNA
Source: RNAcentral
AUGGACGCCGCCGCCCUGGAAACCCUCAUCCUCGACCUGCACGCCAUCGAGGCGGUCAAGCUCGGCUCCUUCGUGCUGAAAUCCGGCAUCACCUCCCCGAUCUACCUCGACCUGCGCGCGCUCGUCUCGCACCCGCGCCUGCUGGCCUCCAUCGCCUCCCUCCUCUCGUCCCUCCCGGCCACCCGCCCCUACGGCAUCCUCUGCGGGGUGCCCUACACGGCGCUCCCCAUCGCCUCCGUGCUCUCCGUCGACCGCGGCCUCCCCAUGCUCAUGCGCCGCAAGGAGGUCAAGACCCACGGCACCGCCAAGGCCAUCGAGGGCUCCUUCCGCGCCGGUGACACCGUGCUCAUCAUCGAGGACCUCGUCACCAGCGGCGCCUCCGUGCUCGAGACCGCCGCGCCCCUCCGCGCCGAGGGGCUCGUCGUGGCGGACGCCUUCGUCGUCGUCGACCGCGAGCAGGGCGGGAGGGAGAACCUCGCGGCCAACGGGGUCACGCUGCACUCGCUCAUGACGCUCACCGAGGUGCUCGCCGUGCUGCUCCGGCACGGCAAGGUCACCGAGGAGAAGGCCGCCGAGGUGAAGCAGUUUUUAGAUGCCAACAGGAAGGUCACCGUGCCGGGCGCCGCCAAGCCCAAGGUGGCCAGGAAGGGGUUCCCUGAGAGGGCGGGCUUGGCCAAGAACCCCAUGGGGAAGAAGCUGUUCGAGGUGAUGGAGGCCAAGCAGAGCAACCUCUGCGUCUCCGCGGAUGUUGGGACAGCCAAGGAGCUCCUUGAGCUUGCCGAAAAGGUUGGCUCUGAGAUUUGCAUGCUGAAAACCCAUGUCGAUAUCUUGUCAGAUUUUACACCUGACUUUGGCACAAAGCUUCGCUCGAUUGCUGAGAAGCACAACUUUUUGAUCUUUGAAGACCGCAAGUUUGCGGACAUUGGUAACACAGUAACUAUGCAAUAUGAAGGAGGAAUAUUCCGCAUAUUAGAAUGGGCUGAUAUUGUUAAUGCCCAUGUAAUUCCUGGGCCUGGAAUUGUUGAUGGUUUGAAGCUUAAGGGUUUACCGAAAGGAAGAGGGCUACUUUUGCUUGCUGAAAUGAGCUCAGCUGGCAACCUUGCUCAAGGAGAUUACACUGCAGCAGCUGUAAAGAUUGCUGAGCAACAUUCUGAUUUUGUGAUUGGAUUUAUAUCAGUAAAUCCCGCAUCGUGGUCUGUGGCACCAUCAAGCCCAGCGUUUAUCCAUGCCACCCCUGGAGUGCAGAUGGUUUCUGGAGGAGAUGCUCUUGGGCAACAGUACACCACUCCUUAUUCUGUGAUAAACGACAGAGGCAGCGAUAUAAUCAUUGUGGGGCGCGGGAUCAUCAAGGCGAGCGACCCCGAGCAGACGGCCAGGGAGUACCGCAUCCAAGGGUGGCAGGCGUACCUGUCGAGCUUGUGA